RNAcentral lists this ribosomal RNA (1416 nucleotides) under Triticum aestivum (bread wheat). RNAcentral describes it as "partial small subunit ribosomal RNA". The record is from RNAcentral. Lineage: Eukaryota; Viridiplantae; Streptophyta; Magnoliopsida; Poales; Poaceae.
AUGCAACCACUGGUAGAUGAGUUGAAAGAAGCUUGGGUGAACGGGAUACGGACAUACGACGCUGCUAGCAAAAAGAACUUCACAAUGCAUGUUUGGUACCAGUACUCAUUUCAUGACUUACCGGCGUAUUCACUUUUCAUGGGGUGGUCUGUGCAUGGGGGGUUCCCAUGCCCAAGGUGCAAGGCAAGCAUGAAGUGCCGUUGGUUGCAGCAUGGUCGCAAGUAUUCUUGCUUCGAUUUUCAUAGACAACAUUUGCGUCUUGACCAUCCAUUCAGAAAAGACAAGAAGAACUUCAUGAAAGGUGAAGUCGUUGAACACUCGGCACCACCUGAGAUGACAGGUGAACAAAUUCGUGAUCAACUAAAUGCUCUCCAGCCUGAUCCCAAACAUCCAGGGUAUUUCUUGGGAUAUAACGAAGAACACGCGUGGACUCAUAAGCCAUGCUUAUGGGAUCUCCCCUACUUCCACCAGCUCGAGCUUCCACAUAAUAUUGAUGUAAUGCACACUGAAAAGAAUAUCGCCGAGGCCAUUUUUGGCACAUUGUUCAACAUUGCUGAGAAGACGAAGGAUAAUACUAAGGCUAGACUUGAUGUAAUGAAGCUAUGUCAUAGACCCGAACAAAACUUGCGACAACCCGAGGGCAAGAAAAACUGGAGGACGCCAAAGGCGAGGUUUGUUCUUACUAGGGAACAAAAGAAGGAGAUACUCAUGUGGUUCAAAACUUUGUUGUUCCCUGAUGGGUAUGCAGCGAACCUUAUGAGGGCAGUGAAUCUUGAUAAAUUGAAGCUCAACGGGAUGAAGAGUCAUGAUUGGCACAUAUGGCUUGAGCGGUUAAUGCCGGUGAUGAUUCGAGGCUAUAUCCCUGAGGAUGAUUGGGAAGUAUUGGCAGAGCUUAGCUAUUUCUUCCGUGUUCUUUGUGCUAAAGAAGUAUCUCCUACUGUGAUAGAUGAGAUGGAAGAAUGGGCCACCGAGUUGCUCUGCAAGCUAGAGAAGAUCUUUCCACCAGGAUUCUUUAAUCCGAUGGAACAUAUGAUUUUACACCUCCCUUCCGAGGCAAGAAUGGGUGGCCCUGUGCAGAAUCGUUGGUGCUAUGGACUUGAGAGAAUGCAGAAGACUCUUCGAGCUAAAUGUAGAAAUAAAUGUAGAAUUGAAGCCUCCAUAGCCGAGGCAUUCUUGGCAGAGGAGAUUACAAACUUCACGACAUCACGCUAUGCGGCCAAUAUUCCAAGCUUGCAUAAUGCAAAGUCUCGAUACAAUACUGGCGACCCUAAACAUGAAUCCAAGCUCAGCCUCUUCAAAGGGCAACUCGGACCUGUGGGUGCUUCUGGUUCAAAGCAUUUGGAUCUGAAAGAGUGGAAAUCACUUACGUUGUAUAUCCUCACCAACCUUCAAGAAGUGCGGCCGUACAUUGAGUAA